CCUACGGGAGGCAGCAGUGGGGAAUAUUGGACAAUGGGGGAAACCCUGAUGCAGCGAAGCCGCGUGAGUGAAGAAGUCAUUCUUUAUGUAAAACUUUUUUUGCCGGGAAGCAAAUGACGGUACCUGUGUAAGAAGCGACAGCUACCUACGUACCAGCAGCCGCGGUACUACGUCGGGGACACGCGUUAUCCGGAUUUACGGGGUGUAAAGGGAGAGUAGACGGUGCGCCAAGUCUGGAGUGAAAUGUCGCAGCUUAACUGCGGAACUGCUGUGGAAACUGGCGAUCUAGAGUGCGGGAGGGGUAAGCGGAAUGCCUGGUGUAGCGGUGAAAUGCAUAGAUAUUAGGAAGAACUCCGAUGGCGAAGGCGGCAUACUGGACCGUAACUGACGUUGAGGCUCGAAAGCGUGGGUAGCAAACAGGAUUAGAUACCCUAGUAGUC
This 440-nucleotide ribosomal RNA is filed under the name uncultured bacterium. RNAcentral's name for it is "partial 16S ribosomal RNA". It matches the Rfam family "Bacterial small subunit ribosomal RNA", at positions 338 to 795 of the family's 1533-position model. The record is from RNAcentral.